This 463-nucleotide ribosomal RNA is filed under the name Tetanocera mesopora. RNAcentral's name for it is "partial 16S ribosomal RNA". It matches the Rfam family "Bacterial large subunit ribosomal RNA", at positions 1828 to 2553 of the family's 2925-position model. The record is from RNAcentral. Lineage: Eukaryota; Metazoa; Arthropoda; Insecta; Diptera; Sciomyzidae.
GUCCUUUUGAGGUUAAUUUAAGGUCUAACCUGCCCACUGAAUUUUUAAUGGCCGCAGUACUCUAACUGUGCAAAGGUAGCAUAAUAAUUAGUCUUUUAAUUGAAGGCUGGAAUGAAUGGUUGGACGAGGUACUUUCUGUUUCAUAUAAAUUUAUUCUAGAAUUUUAUUUUUCAGUCAAAAAGCUGAAAUUUUUUUAAAAGACGAGAAGACCCUAUAAAUCUUUACAUUUAUUUAAAAAUUUUAAGAUAAGAAGUUUUUUGGAAAUUUUUAAGAAGGUGUUUUAUUGGGGUGAUAUUAAAAUUUAAAAAACUUUUAACUUACUUAACAUUAAUUUAUGAGUAAAUGAUCCGUAUCCACGAUUAAUAAAUUAAGUUACUUUAGGGAUAACAGCGUAAUUUUUUUGGAGAGUUCAUAUCGAUAAAAAAGAUUGCGACCUCGAUGUUGGAUUAAGGAAUAAUUUUAG